Long non-coding RNA from Apis mellifera (honey bee), 956 nucleotides. RefSeq lists it as uncharacterized. The record is from RefSeq and is a predicted model, not a curated record. NCBI's taxonomy places the organism in Eukaryota, Metazoa, Arthropoda, Insecta, Hymenoptera, Apidae. The transcript has 3 exons.
UUGCUCGUCGAUUGUAAAUUAAACGGACGCGUUAAUAGUUUUUUAUUUUUAUUUUUUUUUAUAUUUAAUAUUCGUUUGCGGUACAGAGUAGAGUCAGUGCUUCUCGAAGGAAUAAGGCAGUCAUCCAUCACGCGAAGAGAUGCCUGACUUUGCCAGUGUUUAUGAACAUUUCUAUUGGACUUCAAUUUUAAAAAAUAUUUGUGACCGCGUGCAAUGCGGUCUAUAGAAUCAGUGUUUGCUUCGUAACAGUUUUUUUUAAAUAUUUUAGUGCACAAUAACUUUAAUUAAAUUGUCAUAAUUAUUCGCGAAAUUAGAGUCAGUGUUUGCUCGUCGCCUAUGUUUUAAAUCGACGGUAAUUUUUUAUUUUUUAUUUUUUUUUUUUAAAUAUUCGUUUUCGGUACAGGGUAGAGUCAGUGUUUCUCGAAGGAAUAGGGUAUUCAUCCACCACGCGAAGAGUUUCCACUUCCUGAUGAUGACUACUUUGACGAUGACAUCUUGGGCCACGACAAUGCAGAUUCUUCGCAUCUAUUGGUGAGUCGCAUGCAUUUAUGUUCCUCCGGUCAUUCAAUCAUGUCGUAGGAUGAAAGAUCCGAAUCGACACGAAUGAUUGGUUGUAUACGUAGAUUUUUGCACGAGCACAAUGACCACGGGUAUUUAUCAUACCCGUGAAUAGUAACAUUUCUUUCUUUGUAUUUUAUUUAUUAGAUCAGGAUAGAUCUUCUUGCACGUCGCGUUUUUAAGAUAAUAUUUUAAUAUGAUUAGUAUGAACGAUACAAAUUAGUUUGAUUGUUUAUAGUUGAAAUAAUUUCUGUAAUCAUUUGUAAAAUAAAGCUUAAGCAACUAUAUGCAUCAAACUAUAUGAAUUUAGUAGUAAAAAGGAAUAUUCAAAUAAAUGAGAAAUAUUGGAUUGAUUUUAAUUAAAUCUCUCAUAGUGAAGAAGAAUGUUCUCCGACUUU